UUGAAUCUCGCACCUCAGUCGAGUCGACUCCAAGUAUUCCAGAGUCGACCCUCAAGUUAACCGAGUCGACUCCAAUAAGGUCCGAGUCGACUUCGAGGCAAAUCAGCUUCCUAAAGACAAAGAAGAAGAGGAAGCAAGAAGAAAGAAAGAAAGAGAUAAAAAGGAAGAAAGUCUUGACCAAGGAAGAGUCAAGCAAGGAAAUAAAAGCUAGGAGCAACAAUAAUGAUAUUAGCUCCAAGGAACUACAAGAGGUAACUAACUUUUGCUUUAUGGCACAAGAAGAUAAGGUAAAAUCUGAAUCUAAUUUUACACCAAAUGAAUUUCAUGAA
This 329-nucleotide long non-coding RNA is filed under the name Phoenix dactylifera (date palm). RNAcentral describes it as "long non-coding RNA (PDAC_LNC010582)". Lineage: Eukaryota; Viridiplantae; Streptophyta; Magnoliopsida; Arecales; Arecaceae. The record is from RNAcentral.